CCCUGUCUGUGCCUUCCCUACC
Molecule: microRNA, 22 nt
Filed under: Gallus gallus (chicken)
Lineage: Eukaryota; Metazoa; Chordata; Aves; Galliformes; Phasianidae
Description: microRNA Ros-gga
Source: RNAcentral